GACGAACGCUGGCGGCGUGCUUAACACAUGCAAGUCGAACGGCAAGGCCCUGCUAUUGUGGGGUGCCCGAGUGGCGAACGGGUGAGUAACACGUGUGUAACGUGCCCUUGAUUUUGGGAUAACUUCAGGAAACUGGGGUUAAUAUCGUACAGGAGCUCCUGUUGCAUGGUGAGCGUGGGAACUUCUCGGCUGGUGGGGAUGAAUUCGCGGGUUAUCAGCUUGUUGGUGGGGGAGUGGAUUACCAAGGCAGUGACGGGUCGCCGGCAUGUGAGGGUGACCGGGGUCCAUGGGACUGCGGUACGGACCAGAGUCCUACGUGAGACAGCAGUGGGGAGUAUUGCACAGCGGGCGGAAGUCUGUUGCAGAAACGCCGCGUGCGGGAUGACGGUCUUCGGGUUGUAAACCGCUUUCGCCUGUGACGAAGCGUUAGUGACGGUAAUGAGUAAAGAAGCACCGGCUAACUACGUG
This 468-nucleotide ribosomal RNA is filed under the name uncultured bacterium. Its description in RNAcentral is "partial 16S ribosomal RNA". It matches the Rfam family "Bacterial small subunit ribosomal RNA", at positions 28 to 507 of the family's 1533-position model. The record is from RNAcentral.